RNAcentral lists this transfer RNA (69 nucleotides) under Tenualosa ilisha (Hilsa shad). Its description in RNAcentral is "tRNA-Met". It matches the Rfam family "tRNA". From Rfam's summary of the family: Transfer RNA (tRNA) molecules are approximately 80 nucleotides in length. Their secondary structure includes four short double-helical elements and three loops (D, anti-codon, and T loops). Further hydrogen bonds mediate the characteristic L-shaped molecular structure. tRNAs have two regions of fundamental functional importance: the anti-codon, which is responsible for specific mRNA codon recognition, and the 3' end, to which the tRNAs corresponding amino acid is attached (by aminoacyl-tRNA synthetases). tRNAs cope with the degeneracy of the genetic code in two manners: having more than one tRNA (with a specific anti-codon) for a particular amino acid; and 'wobble' base-pairing, i.e. permitting non-standard base-pairing at the 3rd anti-codon position. Lineage: Eukaryota; Metazoa; Chordata; Actinopteri; Clupeiformes; Clupeidae. The record is from RNAcentral.
AGUAGAGUCAGCUAAAUAAGCUUUCGGGCCCAUACCCCGAACAUGUUGGUUAAAACCCUUCCUCUGCUA